Molecule: ribosomal RNA, 678 nt
Filed under: uncultured bacterium
Lineage: Bacteria
Description: bacterial SSU rRNA
Rfam family: Bacterial small subunit ribosomal RNA
Source: RNAcentral
GAGAUUAAAGAUUUACCGGUGAUGGAUGGGGAUGCGUCUGAUUAGCUUGUUGGCGGGGUAACGGCCCACCAAGGCAACGAUCAGUAGGGGUUCUGAGAGGAAGGUCCCCCACAUUGGAACUGAGACACGGUCCAAACUCCUACGGGAGGCAGCAGUGAGGAAUAUUGGUCAAUGGACGAGAGUCUGAACCAGCCAAGUAGCGUGCAGGAUGACGGCCCUAUGGGUUGUAAACUGCUUUUAUAAGGGAAUAAAGUGAGUCUCGUGAGACUUUUUGUAUGUACCUUAUGAAUAAGGACCGGCUAAUUCCGUGCCAGCAGCCGCGGUAAUACGGAAGGUCCGGGCGUUAUCCGGAUUUAUUGGGUUUAAAGGGAGCGUAGGCCGGAGAUUAAGCGUGUUGUGAAAUGUAGAUGCUCAACAUCUGCACUGCAGCGCGAACUGGUUUCCUUGAGUACGCACAAAGUGGGCGGAAUUCGUGGUGUAGCGGUGAAAUGCUUAGAUAUCACGAAGAACUCCGAUUGCGAAGGCAGCUCACUGGAGCGCAACUGACGCUGAAGCUCGAAAGUGCGGGUAUCGAACAGGAUUAGAUACCCUGGUAGUCCGCACGGUAAACGAUGGAUGCCCGCUGUUGGUCUGAAUAGGUCAGCGGCCAAGCGAAAGCAUUAAGCAUCCCACCUGGGG